Molecule: long non-coding RNA, 593 nt
Organism: Mus caroli (Ryukyu mouse)
Lineage: Eukaryota; Metazoa; Chordata; Mammalia; Rodentia; Muridae
Source: RefSeq, a predicted model, not a curated record
UACAGAAAAUUAAAUAAUGUGGUAGCAAGGUGCUGGUUUCCUAGUCUCCAUGGAGCUCUUUGUCUUGAUGCCCACGUGACAAUCACGUGAAUGAAGAGGCUCUCACUCGCAGAUUAUGCUGUUGCCAAAUGCUUCCUUCAGUGCCACAGAGACCCCAGGAGAAAACUGUGUAAAGGAUGCCGACUCUCCAUGGCUUCUCGACUAUGAAGCAUAUUACUGCCAUCGUUUUCUCCAGUCAUCGAACUCUAUAAGGCAGGGCACUGUACAAAAUAAGAAGUUUCAAUAAUUAAUGGAAAGAAGAAAACUGUGGCUCAUUUCCUGCCAUGUGGAUCUAAAAUGAGAGAAAAGCCACCAAAGAAGGAUAGCACUAGAAGUUCUGUCUCAGAAAUUAGAGAAAAGAAUUUCUCAAACCACAAUUACCGCGUCAGAACCUUGGUAUCAUCACACUGGUCAAAGCCUACCAUUUGGAAACCAGGACACUGAGCCUGAUGUGGCCCUGAUAGGGCAGAGUGAAAUGGUUCCUGCCCCUGGGAUAAGGCCCUGGUGUGAGCCUCUAUGAGUGUCAGUCAUUGGCUCUGUGGGUAUGAAGCUUG